UACGGGGGGGGCAAGCGUUGUUCGGAAUUACUGGGCGUAAAGGGCUCGUAGGCGGCCAACUAAGUCAGACGUGAAAUCCCUCGGCUUAACCGGGGAACUGCGUCUGAUACUGGAUGGCUUGAGUUCGGGAGAGGGAUGCGGAAUUCCAGGUGUAGCGGUGAAAUGCGUAGAUAUCUGGAGGAACACCGGUGGCGAAGGCGGCAUCCUGGACCGGUUCUGACGCUGAGGCGCGAAAGCGUGGGAGCAAACAGG
Molecule: ribosomal RNA, 252 nt
Filed under: uncultured bacterium
Lineage: Bacteria
Description: partial 16S ribosomal RNA
Rfam family: Bacterial small subunit ribosomal RNA
Source: RNAcentral